CAGCAGCCGCGGGAAUACGAAGGGGGCUAGCGUUGCUCGGAAUGACUGGGCGUAAAGGGCGCGUAGGCGGCUGACACAGUCAGAUGUGAAAUUCCUGGGCUCAACCUGGGGACUGCAUUUGAGACGUGUUGGCUUGAGUGGAGAAGAGGGUCGUGGAAUUUCCAGUGUAGAGGUGAAAUUCGUAGAUAUUGGAAAGAACACCGGUGGCGAAGGCGGCGACCUGGUCUUUAACUGACGCUGAGGCGCGAAAGCGUGGGGAGCAAACAGGAUUAGAUACCCCAGUAGUCCCUGUCUCUUAUAC
This 301-nucleotide ribosomal RNA is filed under the name uncultured bacterium. RNAcentral describes it as "partial 16S ribosomal RNA". It matches the Rfam family "Bacterial small subunit ribosomal RNA", at positions 509 to 807 of the family's 1533-position model. The record is from RNAcentral.